AUGCAAUUCCGUUUCAUAAUGUCUUUAAUAAAAAACAAAAAAAAAUUGCAACUUCAAAACCAAAUAUUACAGGACAUUUUUUUUUAUACCUGGUGUUAAUAUACUUAAGUCGUUAAUAAAAAAUUCGAUAGAAACAAUAUUUUAGAUAUUUUUUUUAAGACGAUCAAACACUAAGUGUCUAUACGGACAAGUUUUUGGGUUAUAAAAGAAAAAAAAAUGUAUAUUUUUUAUUAAGAAAUAUAUUAUAGCAACGACCAUUAAACAUGCGCCUUUCAUCAACAAUAAUUUUCAUAUUGAAAGCAGCUGCCGACUACUAAACUGCAUAAUCAAUGCCACGCCUGAACCUCUCAUCAGACGGAUAAUUCAAUUAUAGUUACCGUCAAAUGCAAAAACAACAAAACAUUACUAUUUUAGAAAAUAUACGAACAAUUUAUGUUGUAGGAACAGUAAUGCUUAAAUAUUUUACAGUUGAUUUUCACUUGUUUUGGACACUUAAAAUGUUAUAUUUAAAUAUAUUUUUUUAAAGAAAUUGUAUUCUCAAAAAUAUAAGAUUAAUUUUUUUUUUGGGACUGUCAUUCAUUUUCAUAUAAUUAAAUAAAAAUUUAUUUCCAACCUUAAAAAAACCAAUCCUUCACAAUUAUUUGUUUCUAAGUAGACGUAGCUUAAACCUUAUUACGACUUAACUAACUUAAAUGUGAUACUUUGCGUAAAACCCGUGACUUCUCUGGGUGCGAUCUUCUUGAAUGUGGCCACCUGUACCGCCAGCUGGUGGAGGACACUAACAGCCGGCCCGUCCUCCAGGGCCCGGGUCAAUCUGACCGCUCGUCCGCACUCACGGACCAGGCAACAUAAUAGCUAUAAUGUACUCACAAUGCGACAGAUUCAGUGAGAACAGCCUCCAAGCGACGAGGGCGUGUGGAUGAAGGGUGAAACGCGGAGGUGGACAAGACGCAGGCUCGGGGAGCGAGAGGAGAGACAGGGUUUAAGACCAACUCCGUCAUACCUCCGAGGUGAUUGAAAAUUAAUUCACGAAUGAGGUCAUUGCACUCGCUCUCUAAAUAAUGAUCAGUAAAGAAAUGUCC
Molecule: long non-coding RNA, 1082 nt
Organism: Danaus plexippus (monarch butterfly)
Lineage: Eukaryota; Metazoa; Arthropoda; Insecta; Lepidoptera; Nymphalidae
Exons: 4
Source: RefSeq, a predicted model, not a curated record